This 151-nucleotide non-coding RNA is filed under the name Geobacteraceae bacterium GWC2_53_11. RNAcentral's name for it is "partial RNase P RNA component class A". It matches the Rfam family "Bacterial RNase P class A", at positions 1 to 161 of the family's 367-position model. From Rfam's summary of the family: Ribonuclease P (RNase P) is a ubiquitous endoribonuclease, found in archaea, bacteria and eukarya as well as chloroplasts and mitochondria. Its best characterised activity is the generation of mature 5'-ends of tRNAs by cleaving the 5'-leader elements of precursor-tRNAs. The record is from RNAcentral. Lineage: Bacteria; Pseudomonadati; Thermodesulfobacteriota; Desulfuromonadia; Geobacterales; Geobacteraceae.
GAAGUAGUCCAGAUGGUCGCUGCCGGUUUAUCCGGUGGAGGAAAGUCCGGGCUCCAUAGGGCGUGACGCUGGAUAACGUCCAGCGGGGGUGACCCCAGGGAAAAGUGCCACAGAGAGAAGUCCGCCUGCCUCGGCAGGUAAGGGUGAAAGG